GACAGAGGGGGCAAGCGUUGCUCGGAAUCACUGGGCGUAAAGGGCGCGUAGGCGGGAUGGCAAGUCGGUCGUGAAAUCUCUCGGCUCAACCGAGAAACGUCGGCCGAUACUGCCGUUCUUGAGGGAUGCAGAGGAGACUGGAAUUCCCGGUGUAGCGGUGAAAUGUGUAGAGAUCGGGAGGAACACCGGUGGCGAAGGCGGGUCUCUGGGCAACAACUGACGCUGAGGAGCGAAAGCGUGGGGAGCGAACAGG
Molecule: ribosomal RNA, 253 nt
Filed under: uncultured bacterium
Lineage: Bacteria
Description: partial 16S ribosomal RNA
Rfam family: Bacterial small subunit ribosomal RNA
Source: RNAcentral